AUGGAUUUUAAACAACAUAUUAAUUAUAAUAAAAUUCUACAUUUAAGUAGAUAAGUAGAAUUAUUUUAAAUCAACGAAUUCAGCUAUAUUGAAGAAUUUGAAUUUAGAUUACUAUCUGGGACUAGUAGGACUGAAGGCUUCUUUGGAUAAAUUAGGUCAAUGAUAGUUUGCAGACAGAACAAUACUGGGUGCCUAAUACAGUAGUACCUUCACGUUGCUGAUAAAUAUUAUACAGGGCCUAAGUGGCGUAUUCAAACUGUAUUCAACAGAAUAACAUUAUGGAUAUUCAUGGGCUGGACCCUUGUUCGUACGGGUUCCUCAUAUUUGAGUCAUAUAUAUCAAAAGCAGGACGGAAAAUGAUUCAAUCUAAUAAUUAGAGGAAUUAUGUACUUACCUAUCAUAUUGUGUGCAUCGAUAAUAAUUAGUGUGCGCGGUUCCAGGUUUGAUUCUAAAGUAGUCACAAGGACUCUGGAGUAAGUCGGCCUGUAAUUACUGACCUCCCACCCACCCACCAAAAGUUGUCUAGUUAACCAAGAACCAUCCUCAAUAUCUUUUGUGAAAUACCACCAGUCUCCCAAAAAAAUACUAUGUCGUUGAGAAGAAUAGACAAACAAUGUUGGACAUGAAUGUAACUUGUGUUAUUUAUAAUUCUGGAUGACAAGUGGAAAAUAAUUACAACACAAAAUCUGUAAGCAAAACCCUUCAAACGUGUUACCAAAUUAAAUCAUGCAUAAUAUCUUAAUUAUAAAGGUACUUGUCAAUCGCAGAUACUAUAGAAUUUUCUAGCAGAAAACUACUUUUAUAUUUUAGCAUAAUAUAUAAAAUCGUCAUUCAAAGCCAGUAUUCAACUUACAAGUAUACACUAUACAGCACCAAAUGUAUAUUGAUGUUUUUUUCAUCGAUAAUAAUAAGUAAAAGUUUUGAACAGUGUAAAAUCCAUUUAUAUUCUAACAAUAUUUAGUUAUCUUAAAUCAAAUUUGACUAAGAAGAAGGUGCUCCACAACUUAACAUAAUUAUUGAUAACUAUGAUUUAGAAGUUGGAUACAAAAGCUACUUCCUGAUAUCUACUGAAAAUCAGCCAUUACAGUUUAUGCCAAUUUAAUAAAAAAAAAAGUUUACUUUAGUUAA
This is a long non-coding RNA of Aphis gossypii (cotton aphid), 1128 nucleotides long. RefSeq lists it as uncharacterized. NCBI's taxonomy places the organism in Eukaryota, Metazoa, Arthropoda, Insecta, Hemiptera, Aphididae. The transcript is spliced from 7 exons. The record is from RefSeq and is a predicted model, not a curated record.